UACGUAGGUGGCAAGCGUUAUCCGGAAUUAUUGGGCGUAAAGAGGGAGCAGGCGGCAGCAAAGGUCUGUGGUGAAAGACUGAAGCUUAACUUCAGUAAGCCAUAGAAACCGGGCAGCUAGAGUGCAGGAGAGGAUCGUGGAAUUCCAUGUGUAGCGGUGAAAUGCGUAGAUAUAUGGAGGAACACCAGUGGCGAAAGCGGCUCUCUGGUCUGUAACUGACGCUGAGGUUCGAAAGCGUGGGUAGCAAACAGG
This 252-nucleotide ribosomal RNA is filed under the name uncultured bacterium. RNAcentral describes it as "partial 16S ribosomal RNA". It matches the Rfam family "Bacterial small subunit ribosomal RNA", at positions 524 to 776 of the family's 1533-position model. The record is from RNAcentral.